Neopelma chrysocephalum (saffron-crested tyrant-manakin) is the source of this 449-nucleotide long non-coding RNA. RefSeq lists it as uncharacterized. The transcript has 3 exons. The record is from RefSeq and is a predicted model, not a curated record. Lineage: Eukaryota; Metazoa; Chordata; Aves; Passeriformes; Pipridae.
AAGUGGUUAUGUUGCAAAGCAAUUUAAAUUUGGUAGUAGAAUGGCUAAGGCUUAGUAGGAGAGUAGGCCUAGAAAGCAACACUCCAAAGUAGUAAGUUAGCAACCUUGUUUGUGAGCAUGAAAUGUACUGAAGAAGUGGAAACAAUAAUCAAAGGAUUUAGUCAAGCAUGUAUAUAAUGAUUUGUUACCUUGGAUGUGGUAAGGGUCUGUUAAACAGUUUCUAGGGGUAAGACAACUUAAGCAGAUUUAUGAUUAGAGUAAAUGAUUAUCAAUUGUUAUCAGUAUGAAGUAUGAGCUUGUUUGUAACUGAAUGAAACUGUUUUGCUGUGGAAACUGCACGUAAACUUGUUUGUGUAUAUAAGCUGAAUUGAGAAUGAGGGUCUUCGGAAUCCUGACUUGGGACGCUAGUCCUCAGGUUCCCGGGGCCCCGAAUAAAGCACCGCAUAAAC